UACGGGGGGAGCAAGCGUUGUUCGGAUUUACUGGGCGUAAAGGGCGCGUAGGCGGCGCGGUAUGUCACCUGUGAAAUCUCCUGGCUCAACUGGGAGCUUGCAGGCGAAACUGCCGUGCUGGAGUGUGGGAGAGGUGCGUGGAAUUCCCGGUGUAGCGGUGAAAUGCGUAGAUAUCGGGAGGAGCACCUGUGGCGAAAGCGGCGCACUGGACCACAACUGACGCUGAGGCGCGAAAGCUAGGGGAGCAAACAGG
This 253-nucleotide ribosomal RNA is filed under the name uncultured bacterium. RNAcentral's name for it is "partial 16S ribosomal RNA". It matches the Rfam family "Bacterial small subunit ribosomal RNA", at positions 524 to 776 of the family's 1533-position model. The record is from RNAcentral.